This 1119-nucleotide long non-coding RNA is filed under the name Monodelphis domestica (gray short-tailed opossum). RNAcentral's name for it is "lncRNA (ENSMODG00000047211.1)". The record is from RNAcentral. Lineage: Eukaryota; Metazoa; Chordata; Mammalia; Didelphimorphia; Didelphidae.
GUCUCUCUGGGAAUGAGGAAGAGAUUUUAACGGGAAUUGUGUGGCUGGGUACACUUUAUUGAUCAGUGCGCUGGUCUUCAGACCUUAACUCUCCUCUCAUUCGUUACAUUUUGUCACAAUCCUGUCUUAGGGUGGUAGGAAUGAUGCAUUAAAGUCAAGAGAUCACAAUGACAUCAUAUAAUACCAAGUCAUAAAAGCUAACCUGGGACGUUCAACCUUGGAUAUGGGGAGUCAGGGAGGAAAUGGUUUCCUAGGAUUUGUAGAGUCCUCUCUAUCUAAAAGGGGUAUCUUUUCGGUGGUGGUCGGGUGAGGGAAAGCGAUCCUUUUAUUUCUGGAGAAACAGAGACGUCUCCACCAUAUGACUUCCUCUCCAUCCCAUCAUCCUCACAUCUCUAGUCCUCUCUAGACAUUUCUACUCCCUGUUUUUCUCUUCUUUGCGGCUACUUUGUGGUUUGUUUCCCUGCUUUGUAAAGGAGGAACGUUUUUUUUAUGUUGUUCUUUUUUUGUCAUUUUGAUGGGAUGAUAAAAUUCUCUUAAUUUGUUUGAUCCCAGGAAAGCUACUUUUCUACCCAGAUCCACAACAAGGGGGUGUACGGAAAGGCGAGAGGUGUGGUCACAUAAGCGGGAGGGGAAGAGAGACAGCAGGAAGGAAGAAAGGGAAGGCACCGGAAUGGGCGGGGUCACAGCGAGGGGCGUGGCCAUGGCCAGGGGACUGGGCAAAUGCCUUGGAAGAGAGUGGGGAAACUCAUAGAAAGCUCAUUUUACAGAUGAGAAAAUUGAAGCAAACAGUUAAGUGACAUGCCCAAGGUCACAGAGCUAAUCCACCAAGGUACCCCAUUUCCUUUGUGUCUUGAAAGUUUGUAGAGCAGCCAGACCCUAUAAGGGUUCUAUGAUUCUCUGAAGACCAUUUCCAGGCAGUGAUUGGACUGAAGUGGUGCCAUAGUAAGUGAUUUCCCCCUCCUCCACAUUCUAAGUUAAUCCAAAUUCACUUUAAAUAUAUAUAGAUAUAAAUGCUAUGCCAAGUGCAAACCUGUUGUGUUAUAAUUUGAAAUUCAUGAUGAAAUAAGCAUAUUUGACAACGUUUCUCAUGCUAUUUUGGAUAAGAUAGGGAAAUGUAGG